UGACCCUAAUUCCUAGCUUUUAAUUGGCUAAUUUCAAAUUCCCAUAAUUCCCAAGCACCAAUAUGAGCACCCCAGUAGAAACACUUUAGCACAGCACAGCACCCAGGCAACAAGGCAACAAGGUCUACUACACAGCAUCAAACAGGUCACAUAUGUAUCAGCUCAACACGGAUUAAUCCGUAAGGCUCUAUUCCACAAAUGGGGCUUGAAGUAUGAUAUAUAGUAUCUGAAUAAACCGCACCUCACCCCUACAGCGAGUCAUGUGAUCCUUUGACAUUACUUGGCGUUUAACCAGCU
Molecule: long non-coding RNA, 297 nt
Filed under: Haliotis rubra (blacklip abalone)
Lineage: Eukaryota; Metazoa; Mollusca; Gastropoda; Lepetellida; Haliotidae
Description: uncharacterized LOC124269283
Source: RNAcentral